Molecule: ribosomal RNA, 753 nt
Filed under: uncultured Comamonadaceae bacterium
Lineage: Bacteria; Pseudomonadati; Pseudomonadota; Betaproteobacteria; Burkholderiales; Comamonadaceae
Description: bacterial SSU rRNA
Rfam family: Bacterial small subunit ribosomal RNA
Source: RNAcentral
AUUGAACGCUGGCGGCAUGCCUUACACAUGCAAGUCGAACGGCAGCACGGGAGCAAUCGUGGUGGCGAGUGGCGAACGGGUGAGUAAUACAUCGGAACGUGCCCAAUCGUGGGGGAUAACGCAGCGAAAGCUGUGCUAAUACCGCAUACGAUCUACGGAUGAAAGCAGGGGAUCGCAAGACCUUGCGCGAAUGGAGCGGCCGAUGGCAGAUUAGGUAGUUGGUGAGGUAAAGGCUCACCAAGCCGUCGAUCUGUAGCUGGUCUGAGAGGACGACCAGCCACACUGGGACUGAGACACGGCCCAGACUCCUACGGGAGGCAGCAGUGGGGAAUUUUGGACAAUGGGCGAAAGCCUGAUCCAGCCAUGCCGCGUGCAGGAUGAAGGCCUUCGGGUUGUAAACUGCUUUUGUACGGAACGAAACGGCCUUUUCUAAUAAAGAGGGCUAAUGACGGUACCGUAAGAAUAAGCACCGGCUAACUACGUGCCAGCAGCCGCGGUAAUACGUAGGGUGCAAGCGUUAAUCGGAAUUACUGGGCGUAAAGCGUGCGCAGGCGGUUAUGUAAGACAGUUGUGAAAUCCCCGGGCUCAACCUGGGAACUGCAUCUGUGACUGCAUAGCUAGAGUACGGUAGAGGGGGAUGGAAUUCCGCGUGUAGCAGUGAAAUGCGUAGAUAUGCGGAGGAACACCGAUGGCGAAGGCAAUCCCCUGGACCUGUACUGACGCUCAUGCACGAAAGCGUGGGGAGCAAACAGG